This 253-nucleotide ribosomal RNA is filed under the name uncultured bacterium. Its description in RNAcentral is "partial 16S ribosomal RNA". It matches the Rfam family "Bacterial small subunit ribosomal RNA", at positions 524 to 776 of the family's 1533-position model. The record is from RNAcentral.
UACGAAGGGGGCUAGCGUUGUUCGGAAUCACUGGGCGUAAAGGGUGCGUAGGCGGUCGGGUAAGUCUGAUGUGAAAUCUCACAGCUUAACUGUGAAACUGCAUUGGAUACUAUCCGGCUCGAGGAAUGGAGGGGAGACUGGAAUACUUGGUGUAGCAGUGAAAUGCGUAGAUAUCAAGUGGAACACCAGUGGCGAAGGCGAGUCUCUGGACAUUUCCUGACGCUGAGGCACGAAAGCCAGGGGAGCAAACGGG